This 66-nucleotide non-coding RNA is filed under the name Aminicella lysinilytica. Lineage: Bacteria; Bacillati; Bacillota; Clostridia; Peptostreptococcales; Anaerovoracaceae. The record is from RNAcentral.
AACCGCCGUAUGCCGAACGGCAUGUACGGUGGUGUGAGAGGGGCUACUUGCUAGCCCCUACUCGAU